UUCUUUAGAUUGUGACUAUGCCCUGGUUC
This 29-nucleotide non-coding RNA is filed under the name Rattus norvegicus (Norway rat). Lineage: Eukaryota; Metazoa; Chordata; Mammalia; Rodentia; Muridae. The record is from RNAcentral.